GUCGGUGCUCUCGACGCCGGG
RNAcentral lists this non-coding RNA (21 nucleotides) under Arabidopsis thaliana (thale cress). Lineage: Eukaryota; Viridiplantae; Streptophyta; Magnoliopsida; Brassicales; Brassicaceae. The record is from RNAcentral.